Molecule: ribosomal RNA, 497 nt
Filed under: uncultured bacterium
Lineage: Bacteria
Description: partial 16S ribosomal RNA
Rfam family: Bacterial small subunit ribosomal RNA
Source: RNAcentral
GAUGAACGCUGGCGGCGUGCCUAAUACAUGCAAGUCGAGCGAACAGACGAGGAGCUUGCUCCCCUGACGUUAGCGGCGGACGGGUGAGUAACACGUGGAUAACCUACCUAUAAGACUGGGAUAACUUCGGGAAACCGGAGCUAAUACCGGAUAAUAUAUUGAACCGCAUGGUUCAAUAGUGAAAGACGGUUUUGCUGUCACUUAUAGAUGGAUCCGCGCCGCAUUAGCUAGUUGGUAAGGUAACGGCUUACCAAGGCAACGAUGCGUAGCCGACCUGAGAGGGUGAUCGGCCACACGGGAACUGAGACACCGUCCAGACUCCUACGGGAGGCAGCAGUAGGGAAUCUUCCGCAAAGGGCGAAAGCCUGACGGAGCAACGCCGAGUGAGUGAUGAAGGUCUUCGGAUCGUAAAACUCUGUUAUUAGGGAAGAACAAAUGUGUAAGUAACUAUGCACGUCUUGACGGUACCUAAUCAGAAAGCCACGGCUAACUACGUG